UUCCUCGUGGCCCAAUGGUCACGGCGUCUGGCUACGAACCAGAAGACUCCAGGUUCGAGUCCUGGCGGGGAAG
Kazachstania africana CBS 2517 is the source of this 73-nucleotide transfer RNA. It matches the Rfam family "tRNA". From Rfam's summary of the family: Transfer RNA (tRNA) molecules are approximately 80 nucleotides in length. Their secondary structure includes four short double-helical elements and three loops (D, anti-codon, and T loops). Further hydrogen bonds mediate the characteristic L-shaped molecular structure. tRNAs have two regions of fundamental functional importance: the anti-codon, which is responsible for specific mRNA codon recognition, and the 3' end, to which the tRNAs corresponding amino acid is attached (by aminoacyl-tRNA synthetases). tRNAs cope with the degeneracy of the genetic code in two manners: having more than one tRNA (with a specific anti-codon) for a particular amino acid; and 'wobble' base-pairing, i.e. permitting non-standard base-pairing at the 3rd anti-codon position. The record is from Rfam. Lineage: Eukaryota; Fungi; Ascomycota; Saccharomycetes; Saccharomycetales; Saccharomycetaceae.